Small nuclear RNA from Onychomys torridus (southern grasshopper mouse), 168 nucleotides. RefSeq annotates it as U1 spliceosomal RNA. NCBI's taxonomy places the organism in Eukaryota, Metazoa, Chordata, Mammalia, Rodentia, Cricetidae. The record is from RefSeq and is a predicted model, not a curated record. The transcript has a single exon.
AUACAUAUGUGGCAGGGGAGUUAGCAUGAUCAGGAAGGUGAUUCUCCCAUGGUAGGGCUGAUCCAUAGCACUCAUAGUGCAGUACAUCUGUACCGACCCUGUGAUUUCCUCAACUGCAAAGAGCUCUGCUGCACAGCUUGUUAUUGGAGAUUUCAUCUGCACUCUCCC